RNAcentral lists this ribosomal RNA (151 nucleotides) under uncultured eukaryote. RNAcentral describes it as "partial 18S ribosomal RNA". It matches the Rfam family "Eukaryotic small subunit ribosomal RNA", at positions 1299 to 1458 of the family's 1831-position model. The record is from RNAcentral.
UGGUGGAGUGAUUUGUCUGGUUAAUUCCGAUAACGAACGAGACCACAGCCUGCUAAAUAGUCACGGCUAUGUCUGCUCACGCUUGCAUAGCUGGCUGUACUUCUUAGAGGGACUUUCUGGGCUUACCAGAAGGAAGUUUGUGGCAAUAACA